AAGUUACACCUGCAAAAAUGGGACAAAGUCCAGUGAGGAAGGAUAGAACAUUUUGCCUGAAUGUGCAAAAAAUGAGUGGGGUGUCGUCUGCAUUCCUGCAGGCCUGAGCAGCCUCGUGGUAAAGGAAUCAAGAUGUAGAGACCCAUCUGUGAUCACUCAGCCAGGGAAUGCAACUUCUGGGUCAGGAAUCUCAGUGGAUUCUCCAUUGAGAAUGGGUGCUCACCAAGGAGAUUUUGUGGUUAUGAAGUCUUGGCUUUGCCUUGGAGUGGAUCCUGCAGAGGUCAAUGGAGUGAAGCCAGUUAAGGAUGCAAAGAGGAAUGCGAAGAGGAAUGCGAAGGCGAAUGCUCACCUCCGGGAAGCCCCUUCAUUUCUGGAUCCUGUCAGGCAGAGGUGCUGCUGGAGGUCAUACUCCCUCAGCUGGGCAAAGCAGUGGAGAGCCACUGGCUUCCAGAAUGCUCCCAUAUCCUUGCCUGGGAGAGAAUGUUUUUCCUGUUACUCUGGAAGUAUAACAAUUCUGUGGCCUGUCAGUCUUUCAAUAACAAGAGAGGUGACAUUGAGACUUGAUUGUGCUGGUAUCAUUAUCUCAGGAUAUGUAACACCUUACUAAAAAGACUAUUCAUUGCUCAAAAAUUUUGUAUUUCAUAUAAAAAAAUUCCUCUGAUUGUUCAA
This 669-nucleotide long non-coding RNA is filed under the name Ictidomys tridecemlineatus (thirteen-lined ground squirrel). RNAcentral's name for it is "lncRNA (ENSSTOG00000034291.1)". Lineage: Eukaryota; Metazoa; Chordata; Mammalia; Rodentia; Sciuridae. The record is from RNAcentral.